CCUACGGUGGCUGCAGUGGGGAAUUUUGGACAAUGGGGGCAACCCUGAUCCAGCCAUUCCGCGUGAGUGAAGAAGGCCUUCGGGUUGUAAAGCUCUUUUGUCCGGAGCGAAACGGGCGGCCCUAAUACGGUCGUCUACUGACGGUACCGGAAGAAUAAGCACCGGCUAACUACGUGCCAGCAGCCGCGGUAAUACGUAGGGUGCGAGCGUGAAUCGGAAUUGCUGGGCGGCGAGUUUGCGCGCCCGAUGUGAAAUCCCCGGGCUCAACCUGGGAAUGGCAUUUGGGACUGCAAGGCUGGAGUGUGGCAGAGGGGACUAGAAUUCCUGGUGUAGCAGUGAAAUGCGUAGAUAUCAGGAGGAAUACCGAUGGCGAAGGCAGGUCCCUGGGUUAACACUGACGCUCAUGCACGAAAGCGUGGGGAGCAAACAGGAUUAGAUACCCGAGUAGUC
RNAcentral lists this ribosomal RNA (450 nucleotides) under uncultured bacterium. RNAcentral's name for it is "partial 16S ribosomal RNA". It matches the Rfam family "Bacterial small subunit ribosomal RNA", at positions 338 to 795 of the family's 1533-position model. The record is from RNAcentral.